AGUGAACGCUGGCGGUAGGCCUAACACAUGCAAGUCGAACGGCAGCACAGUAAGAGCUUGCUCUUACGGGUGGCGAGUGGCGGACGGGUGAGGAAUACAUCGGAAUCUACUUUUUCGUGGGGGAUAACGUAGGGAAACUUACGCUAAUACCGCAUACGACCUACGGGUGAAAGCAGGGGAUCUUCGGACCUUGCGCGAUUGAAUGAGCCGAUGUCGGAGUAGCUAGUUGGCGGGGUAAGGGCCCACCAAGGCGACGAUCCGUAGCUGGUCUGAGAGGAGGAUCAGCCACACUGGAACUGAGACACGGUCCAGACUGCUACGGGAGGCAGCAGUGGGGAAUAUUGGACAAUGGGCGCAAGCCUGAUCCAGCCAUACCGCGUGGGUGAAGAAGGCCUUCGGGUUGUAAAGCCCUUUUGUUGGGAAAGAAAAGCAGCAGGUUAAUACCCCGCUGUUCUGACGGUACCCAAAGAAUAAGCACCGGCUAACUUCGUG
RNAcentral lists this ribosomal RNA (492 nucleotides) under uncultured bacterium. RNAcentral describes it as "partial 16S ribosomal RNA". It matches the Rfam family "Bacterial small subunit ribosomal RNA", at positions 29 to 507 of the family's 1533-position model. The record is from RNAcentral.